ACCCUCCUAACAGCUAGCCCCCUCCCCCAAAAACAACAAACCUAAUUAAUAACCCCUUAAUAACAACAUAAAAUACAACAAACCAUUUUUCCCCCCAAGUAUGGGCGACAGAAAAG
Molecule: ribosomal RNA, 116 nt
Filed under: Inu ama
Lineage: Eukaryota; Metazoa; Chordata; Actinopteri; Gobiiformes; Gobiidae
Description: partial 16S ribosomal RNA
Source: RNAcentral